This 484-nucleotide ribosomal RNA is filed under the name uncultured bacterium. RNAcentral's name for it is "partial 16S ribosomal RNA". It matches the Rfam family "Bacterial small subunit ribosomal RNA", at positions 30 to 507 of the family's 1533-position model. The record is from RNAcentral.
AUUGAACGCUGGCGGCAGGCCUAACACAUGCAAGUCGAGCGGAUGAAGGGAGCUUGCUCCUGGAUUCAGCGGCGGACGGGUGAGUAAUGCCUAGGAAUCUGCCUGGUAGUGGGGGAUAACGUCCGGAAACGGGCGCUAAUACCGCAUACGUCCUGAGGGAGAAAGUGGGGGAUCUUCGGACCUCACGCUAUCAGAUGAGCCUAGGCCGGAUUAGCUAGUUGGUGGGGUAAAGGCCUACCAAGGCGACGAUCCGUAACUGGUCUGAGAGGAUGAUCAGUCACACUGGAACUGAGACACGGUCCAGACUCCUACGGGAGGCAGCAGUGGGGAAUAUUGGACAAUGGGCGAAGGCCUGAUCCAGCCAUGCCGUGUGUGUGAAGAAGGUCUUCGGAUUGUAAAGCACUUUAAGUUGGGAGGAAGGGCAGUAAGUUAAUACCUUGCUGUUUUGACGUUACCAACAGAAUAAGCACCGGCUAACUUCGUG